This 253-nucleotide ribosomal RNA is filed under the name uncultured bacterium. RNAcentral's name for it is "partial 16S ribosomal RNA". It matches the Rfam family "Bacterial small subunit ribosomal RNA", at positions 524 to 776 of the family's 1533-position model. The record is from RNAcentral.
UACGUAUGGUGCAAGCGCUAUCCGGAUUUACUGGGCGUAAAGGGAGCGCAGGCGGCGCGCCGAGUCUGAUGUGAAACCCCGGGGCUCAACCCCGGGCAUGCAUUGGAAACUGGCGGGCUGGAGUGCCGGAGAGGUAAGCGGAAUUCCUAGUGUAGCGGUGAAAUGCGUAGAUAUUAGGAGGAACACCAGUGGCGAAGGCGGCUUACUGGACGGCAACUGACGCUGAGGCUCGAAAGCGUGGGGAGCAAACAGG